RNAcentral lists this ribosomal RNA (407 nucleotides) under uncultured bacterium. Its description in RNAcentral is "partial 16S ribosomal RNA". It matches the Rfam family "Bacterial small subunit ribosomal RNA", at positions 30 to 526 of the family's 1533-position model. The record is from RNAcentral.
AUUGAACGCUGGCGGCGUGCCUAAUACAUGCAAGUCGGACGCAGUUGCGAACGGGAGAGUAACGCGUAGGUCACUGCCUGUUAGAGGGGGCUAACUAUUGGAAACGAUAGCUAAUACCGCAUACUAGUCGAUGGACCUGCGUUGUAUUAGCUAGUAGGUAGGGUAAUGGCCUACCUAGGCGACGAUACAUAGCCGAGUGUGGAAGGUGGUCGGGCACACUGGGACUUGGAAACGGCCCAGACUUCUACGGGAGGCAGCAGGUGGGAAACUUCGGAAAAGGGGGGAACCCUGGCCGAGCAACGCCGCGGGAGAUAAGAAAGGUUUCGGAGCGUAAAGCUCUUUUGGUAAGGAAGCGGUACCUAACCAGAAAGGGACGGCUAACUACGUGCCAGCAGCCGCGGUAAUUC